CCUACGGGCGGCAGCAGUGGGGAAUAUUGGACAAUGGGGGCAACCCUGAUCCAGCCAUGCCGCGUGUGUGAAGAAGGCCCUCGGGUUGUAAAGCACUUUCAGUGAGGAAGAACGCCUGGUGGUUAAUACCCAUCAGGAAAGACAUCACUCACAGAAGAAGCACCGGCUAACUCCGUGCCAGCAGCCGCGGUAAUACGGAGGGUGCGAGCGUGAAUCGGAAUUACUGGGCGUAAAGCGCGCGUAGGUGGCUUGAUAAGCCGGUUGUGAAAGCCCCGGGCUCAACCUGGGAACGGCAUCCGGAACUGUCAAGCUAGAGUGCAGGAGAGGAAGGUAGAAUUCCCGGUGUAGCGGUGAAAUGCGUAGAGAUCGGGAGGAAUACCAGUGGCGAAGGCGGCCUUCUGGACUGACACUGACACUGAGGUGCGAAAGCGUGGGUAGCAAACAGGAUUAGAUACCCUGGUAGUC
RNAcentral lists this ribosomal RNA (465 nucleotides) under Vreelandella stevensii. Its description in RNAcentral is "partial 16S ribosomal RNA". It matches the Rfam family "Bacterial small subunit ribosomal RNA", at positions 338 to 795 of the family's 1533-position model. The record is from RNAcentral. Lineage: Bacteria; Pseudomonadati; Pseudomonadota; Gammaproteobacteria; Oceanospirillales; Halomonadaceae.